Molecule: small nuclear RNA, 106 nt
Organism: Callithrix jacchus (white-tufted-ear marmoset)
Lineage: Eukaryota; Metazoa; Chordata; Mammalia; Primates; Cebidae
Source: Ensembl
GUGCUCUGUUUGGCAGCACACAUACUAAAAAAUUAGAAUGAUACAGAGAUUAGCAUGGCCCCGGCACAACAAUACCAUGCAAUCUUCUGAAAUAUUCCAUAUUUUU